Molecule: long non-coding RNA, 1163 nt
Organism: Coffea arabica (coffee)
Lineage: Eukaryota; Viridiplantae; Streptophyta; Magnoliopsida; Gentianales; Rubiaceae
Source: RefSeq, a predicted model, not a curated record
UACCACUCAAUCUAUUUCACAUCUUAGAACCACGGCCCACAAUAUUUCUUCAUACUGCCAAUCCAAUUCAUAUCACAAACCACGAUACCAUUUGCUCUAUUUCACAAUCACAAGGCACAAAGCAAUUUCCUCCUCUGCACAAACCACAAACCGCAACUUCCUUUCUGCUCUGCACAAACAACUCCCGGGACAGCAGCUUCAGCACCGCACCAAUGCAGCCAAUCAAAAUUCAAUACCAACUCAACACUCAACCGACCUCUACAUUCAAACAUCCUCAAAAUCACGGCACCAUUCCUCUUCCUUUUCAUUUCUGCACCGCAAACCACUGCAUUUCAUUUUCAUCGUGAAGCAUCCAAGAGCAAGGGAGGGAACGCGAGCUGCAAUCUUCUUUUCGUUUUGUUCUGACCGUAAGUUGGAGGAAAGACAGAGAGAAACCGUGAGCAAAACUCCACACGUCCUGCACCUCCAUUUGCACCCAGCUUCACGACUGCAACCUCAACCAAGCUGCACUUCACCUCCCAGCCGCAACUCAUCAAACCAGAAUCACCAACUGCACUUGGCCGAGAGCUAGAGAGGAAAUUUGUGGAGUUUCGUGUGAAGGAGUAGUUGCUAACUGAGGGUAUAGCGAGGACGUGGAAUUUUGAAUCCCAGCUUGAACUCUGAACUUCACUUUUGGGUUCUGGAAACUAAAAGCUGGAUGCUUACUUAUGUUUUUCUUUUGGAUUGUAUUUGAGUACUAUAACUUAUUCUGUGGGCUGUAAUGUGUUAUUUGGGAUAAUGUAUUUUCCUUUUUGGGUUGCCACUUGAAGCUGGAAAAUGUGUAAACCCUAAUUUGAUUCUUGGUUGGUAAGCUUGUAUUAGGGAUUUAUGUAUUUAUCGAUCUGGUUGGGUAGGACUUAGACUUCGGUACGUAGCUCGUAGGUCGUUUAAGGGCCUCGACUGGCUAAUUUAUCAUUGCUAUCUCUGAAGUUAAUGUGGAUUUAAGGAUGAUCCUAUUUGGGAAAAGUUGUUUUGUAAUAGAUUAGUUUAUUCUUCGAAAGGUUUGGGGUUAGAAUGCUUGCGCGAGUCCUGGCGAGAGUUGGGCAGACGGCCCGCCAACCCUUUGGUUCGCCUCAGGGGGAAGUGGGGUCGUCACAAUUUUUAGACUAAUUUCUUGAUUCAAA